RNAcentral lists this transfer RNA (72 nucleotides) under Dreissena polymorpha. It matches the Rfam family "tRNA". Rfam says of the family: Transfer RNA (tRNA) molecules are approximately 80 nucleotides in length. The record is from Rfam by way of RNAcentral. Lineage: Eukaryota; Metazoa; Mollusca; Bivalvia; Myida; Dreissenidae.
GCCCGGUUAGCUCAGUCGAGAGAGCACUCGCCCAGUAAGCGAGGUGUCAUGGGUUCGAGCCUCGUCUGGGCG